CUGCGGCUGCCACCGACCGACUGCACUGACUGCCGGACAGAGGGUUUGCUUAGUGUCAGGAAUGAAGGAUGGUGGAGGUGUAGAGGACGUAUGGAAAGAUGAGGAGUCACUACGAAAAAAGUGGAUCUGGGCCUGGUCAGUUGUCUGUAUUAUAUCCCUCCCGUUCGACUCAUUGAAGAAGAACUCUUCAUCCAGUUUGAGGACAGACCAAGAGACGAGCACAGUGGAGAAGAAGACCCAAAGGAAUUGUAUUGACAUGCUUUAGUAGAUGUGCAGGCUAAAGACCCAUGCCAGGCAGCCGAGGCAGGCCUUAGAGGACCACCAAGGACCAUAGAAGCAAAUGGACAACUAUUUUCUUUUCUACUCCACUUUUGCCAGCUCAUCAUUGUGAAUAAGAACGUGUUCUUA
Molecule: long non-coding RNA, 408 nt
Filed under: Salmo salar (Atlantic salmon)
Lineage: Eukaryota; Metazoa; Chordata; Actinopteri; Salmoniformes; Salmonidae
Description: lncRNA (ENSSSAG00000089170.1)
Source: RNAcentral